UGUUAGCGCUAUAUCGAGGCUAUUCAAGAUGGCAGACGAGAGAAGAGGGAAGAGGCGUUUGUAAACAACGCCUAAAAGUCCUCGCUAAGAACAACAUGGAUGUUUUAAAAGACUUCAACUAUUCGAAGUAUUGGGAAAAACUACGGGAAAGUAUGCCUAGCAGCUCUGAAAUCAUUGAAUUUGUGAAAAGCCACGUACAAGAACUCGUUAAUUCUGAAGACUGGCAAAUUCGGUUGAGUGUUAUUUUGGUGAUGUGCACCUUCAUCAAUGUUGUCUUGAUUGGUGUGGUGUGGAGUAUAUACGGGGAAACGAUAUCCAAAAUAUUUUACAAUAAGCCUAGGACACCUCUGAAACGACUGAACGGACCUGGUAGCAAGGAAGUCCUCACGAAUAACGAAACCUUGGAGGAUCUUCUCGCAAAAAAACAACAAUGACACAAGAGUUGAUGAGUGGGACCCCAGUAAGUCAGAUGGGAAACAAAGAAA
Long non-coding RNA from Nematostella vectensis (starlet sea anemone), 485 nucleotides. RefSeq lists it as uncharacterized. The record is from RefSeq and is a predicted model, not a curated record. Lineage: Eukaryota; Metazoa; Cnidaria; Anthozoa; Actiniaria; Edwardsiidae. The transcript has 2 exons.